Molecule: transfer RNA, 81 nt
Filed under: Ilyonectria robusta
Lineage: Eukaryota; Fungi; Ascomycota; Sordariomycetes; Hypocreales; Nectriaceae
Also listed under: 1 other name
Description: tRNA-Val
Rfam family: tRNA
About the family: Transfer RNA (tRNA) molecules are approximately 80 nucleotides in length. Their secondary structure includes four short double-helical elements and three loops (D, anti-codon, and T loops).
Source: RNAcentral
GGUCGCGUGGCCCAGUGGUUAAGGCAUCUGCUUUACAUUAUAAAACGCAGAGGAUCGCAGGUUCGAUCCCUGCCGCGAUCA